RNAcentral lists this ribosomal RNA (406 nucleotides) under uncultured bacterium. RNAcentral's name for it is "partial 16S ribosomal RNA". It matches the Rfam family "Bacterial small subunit ribosomal RNA", at positions 361 to 774 of the family's 1533-position model. The record is from RNAcentral.
AUAUUGCGCAAUGGAGGGAACUCUGACGCAGCGACGCAGCGUGAGCGAUGAAGGUCUUNGGAUCGNANAGCACUGUCCGUGGGGGNGCAGGUCUUCGGUCUUGACGGUACCUAAGGAGGAAGCCCCUGGUAACUACGUGCCAGCCGCCGCGAGAAUACGUAGGGGGCAAGCGUUGUGCGGAAUUAUUGGGCGUAAAGGGUACGUAGGCGGCUUUAUAAGUCCGGUAUGAAAUACCAGUGCUUAACACUGGAAUUGCAUUUGAAACUGUGGAGCUUGAGUGCAGGAGAGGAAAGUGGAAUUCCUAGUGUAGCGGUGAAAUGCGUAGAGAUUAGGGGGAACACCAGUGGCGAAGGCGACUUUCUGGACUGUAACUGACGCUGAGGUACGAAAGCGUGGGUAGCGAACA